UUCCGGUUGAUCCUGCCGGAGGUUACCGCUCUGGGAGUCGGAUUAAGCCAUGCUAGCGGAGGGCAGUUCGGCUGCCCCGCGAAAAGCUCAUUAACACGUGGUCAAUCUCCCCUUAGGAUCGAGAUAACCCCGGGAAACUGGGGAUAAUCUCGAAUAGGCGGGGGUUCUGGAAAAGUCCCUCGCUGAAACGUUCCGACGCCUAAUGAUGAGACUGCGGCCUAUUAGGUUGUUGGUGAGGUAAAGGCUCACCAAGCCACAGAUGGGUACGGGCCCUGAGAGGGGGAGCCCGGAGAUGGAGACUGAGACAAGGCUCCAGGCCCUACGGGGCGCAGCAGGUGCGAAAAUUCUGCAAUGUGUGAAAGCACGACAGAGUGACUCCCAGUGCCGAUGGUCUAUCGACCGUCGGCUUUUCUGGAAUGUAAAAAGUUUCAGGUAAUAAUGGCCGGGUAAGACUGGUGCCAGCCGCCGCGGUAACACCAGCGGCCCGAGUGGUAACCGAU
RNAcentral lists this ribosomal RNA (500 nucleotides) under uncultured candidate division MSBL1 archaeon. RNAcentral describes it as "bacterial SSU rRNA". It matches the Rfam family "Archaeal small subunit ribosomal RNA", at positions 1 to 499 of the family's 1478-position model. Lineage: Archaea; Methanobacteriati; Methanobacteriota. The record is from RNAcentral.